ACCUGACUGGCUCAGUCAGGGGAGCUUGUGACUCUUGAUCUCAGAGUUGUGAGUUCAAACCCCACAUUGGGUA
Molecule: transfer RNA, 73 nt
Filed under: Canis lupus familiaris (dog)
Lineage: Eukaryota; Metazoa; Chordata; Mammalia; Carnivora; Canidae
Also listed under: 1 other name
Rfam family: tRNA
About the family: Transfer RNA (tRNA) molecules are approximately 80 nucleotides in length. Their secondary structure includes four short double-helical elements and three loops (D, anti-codon, and T loops).
Source: Rfam by way of RNAcentral